CAUGAUUUCCCUAGUAACGGCGAGUGAAGAGGAAAGAGCUCAAAGUUGGAACCUGUUUGGCUUAGCUAAACCGGAUUGUAAACUGUAGAAACGUUUUCCUGGCACGCCAGAUAAAUAAGUCCUUUGGAACAGGGCAUCAUAGAGGGUGAGAAUCCCGUCUUUGGUCUGAGCUGUUGUCUUUUGUGAUACGUUUUCAAAGAGUCAGGUUGUUUGGGAAUGCAGCCUAAAUUGGGUGGUAAAUCUCACCUAAAGCUAAAUAUUUGCGAGAGACCGAUAGCGAACAAGUACCGUGAGGGAAAGAUGAAAAGAACUUUGAAAAGAGAGUUAAACAGUAUGUGAAAUUGUUAAAAGGGAACCGUUUGGAGCCAGACUGGCUUGAUCGUAAUCAAUCUAGGUUUCGACCUGGAUGCACUUGCGGUCUAUGCCUGCCAACGACAGUUCUUUCUGAAGGAUAAAACUAGGAGGAAUGUGGCCCCUCGGGGUGUUAUAGCCUCUUAGAUAAUACUUUGGAUGGGACUGAGGAACGCAGUGAAUGCUUAUGGCGAAAUUGCUAGGCGCUUUUGUUGAUAGAUGUUAGAAUUUCUACUUCGGGUAGUGCUGAUGUCUAAAGGUAAAACUCGUUUGGUUAAUUUUCUAUUCACUUAGGUUGUUGGCUUAAUGACUCUAAAUGACCCGUCUUGAAACACGGACCAAGGAGUCCACCAUUAGUGCGAGUAUUUGGGUGCCAAACCCAUAUGCGUAAGGAAACUGAUUGAUACGAAACCGCAAGGUGGCAGUAUCACCCGGCGUUGACGUUUUAUACUGAACUGACCGAGGUUAAGCACUAAUGAUGGGACCCGAAAGAUGGUGAACUAUGCCUGAAUAGGGUGAAGCCGGAGGAAACUCCGGUGGAGGCUCGUAGCGAUUCUGACGUGCAAAUCGAUCGUCAAAUUUGGGUAUAGGGGCGAAAGACUAAUCGA
RNAcentral lists this ribosomal RNA (959 nucleotides) under Mucor ellipsoideus. RNAcentral describes it as "LSU rRNA". It matches the Rfam family "Eukaryotic large subunit ribosomal RNA", at positions 70 to 938 of the family's 3401-position model. Lineage: Eukaryota; Fungi; Mucoromycota; Mucoromycetes; Mucorales; Mucoraceae. The record is from RNAcentral.